UACGUAGGGCGCAAGCGUUAUCCGGAAUUAUUGGGCGUAAAGAGCUCGUAGGCGGUUUGUCGCGUCUGCCGUGAAAGUCCGGGGCUCAACUCCGGAUCUGCGGUGGGUACGGGCAGACUAGAGUGAUGUAGGGGAGACUGGAAUUCCUGGUGUAGCGGUGAAAUGCGCAGAUAUCAGGAGGAACACCGAUGGCGAAGGCAGAUCUCUGGGCAUUAACUGACGCUGAGGAGCGAAAGCAUGGGGAGCGAGCAGG
RNAcentral lists this ribosomal RNA (253 nucleotides) under uncultured bacterium. RNAcentral describes it as "partial 16S ribosomal RNA". It matches the Rfam family "Bacterial small subunit ribosomal RNA", at positions 524 to 776 of the family's 1533-position model. The record is from RNAcentral.